This 301-nucleotide ribosomal RNA is filed under the name uncultured bacterium. RNAcentral describes it as "partial 16S ribosomal RNA". It matches the Rfam family "Bacterial small subunit ribosomal RNA", at positions 509 to 807 of the family's 1533-position model. The record is from RNAcentral.
CAGUAGCCGCGGUAAUACGAAGGGGGCUAGCGUUGUUCGGAAUUACUGGGCGUAAAGCGCACGUAGGCGGAUAUUUAAGUCAGGGGUGAAAUCCCGCAGCUCAACUGCGGAACUGCCUUUGAUACUGGGUAUCUUGAGUAUGGAAGAGGUUAGUGGAAUUGCGAGUGUAGAGGUGAAAUUCGUAGAUAUUCGCAGGAACACCAGUGGCGAAGGCGGCUAACUGGUCCAUAACUGACGCUGAGGCGCGAAAGCGUGGGGAGCAAACAGGAUUAGAUACCCGAGUAGUCCCUGUCUCUUAUAC